Molecule: ribosomal RNA, 426 nt
Filed under: uncultured bacterium
Lineage: Bacteria
Description: bacterial SSU rRNA
Rfam family: Bacterial small subunit ribosomal RNA
Source: RNAcentral
GGAAUAUUCGUCAAUGGGGGAAACCCUGAACGAGCAAUGCCGCGUGAAGGAUGACGGUCCUAUGGAUUGUAAACUUCUGUUGUUAGGGAAGAAAGAACUAAGUAGGAAAUGACUUAGGAGUGACGGUACCUUUCAAGAACGCUCCGGCUAACUACGUGCCAGCAGCCGCGGUAAUACGUAGGGAGCGAGCGUUAUCCGGAUUUAUUGGGUGUAAAGGGUGCGUAGGCGGCCUAUUAAGUCUGUAGUCUAAGCCCGGAGCUUAACUCCGGUUCGCUACAGAAACUGAUUAGCUUGAGUAUGGUAGAGGCAAGUGGAAUUUCUAGUGUAGCGGUUAAAUGCGUAGAUAUUAGAAGGAACACCAGUGGCGAAGGCGACUUGCUGGGCCAUUACUGACGCUGAGGCACGAAAGCGUGGGGAGCAAAUAGG